AGUGAACGCUGGCGGCAGGCCUAAUACAUGCAAGUUGAACGGCAGCACAGUGGAGCUUGCUCCAUGGGUGGCGAGUGGCGGACGGGUGAGGAAUACAUGGGAAUCUGCCCAGUCGUGGGGGAUAACGUAGGGAAACUUACGCUAAUACCGCAUGCGCCCUUCGGGGGAAAGCCGGGGACCUUCGGGCCUGGCGCGAUUGGAUGAGCCCAUGUUCGAUUAGCUAGUUGGCGGGGUAAAGGCCCACCAAGGCGACGAUCGAUAGCUGGUCUGAGAGGAUGAUCAGCCACACUGGGACUGAGACACGGCCCAGACUCCUACGGGAGGUAGCAGUAGGGAAUAUUGGACAAUGGGCGCAAGCCUGAUCCAGCCAUGCCGCGUGAGUGAAGAAGGCCCUCGGGUUGUAAAGCUCUUUUGUCCGGGAAGAAAAGCAUCGGGCUAAUACCUCGGUGUUCUGACGGUACCGGAAGAAUAAGCACCGGCUAACUUCGUG
This 490-nucleotide ribosomal RNA is filed under the name uncultured bacterium. RNAcentral's name for it is "partial 16S ribosomal RNA". It matches the Rfam family "Bacterial small subunit ribosomal RNA", at positions 29 to 507 of the family's 1533-position model. The record is from RNAcentral.